GUUUUGAUGAAUUGAGUGUCAGGUUAACGUCUAUGAUCGAAAAACUGGCAACUAAAUCUAGUACGUAUUCAAGAGAAACAAAUUGAAUGGGACAACAACGCGCUGACUUCAAAUUUCCCGCGGUGUCCGUGCGCACAUGCGCACACAAUACAAGUACUAUGUGAGCCAAGCUGAAAACAAAUUCGUCGCAUUUACUCGACAAAUUUUAAAUAUUGAAACGAAGAGAACAACUAAAAUUUGCUGUUCGAACCUUGAAAAGUGUCGAGGUGUCUGCUUCAGCCACGGUGUGCAAGAAGGUCUGAGAAUUUCUGCAGGGUCCACGCCACCAAGAAUGAGAUUUUUCUGUAUUUGAACGAUGCCCAGGUGGAUGGCAACGGCCUGCCCCGUCCACCACCGCCCAUGGCGUCCUCGGCCGUCAUCUGCUUCGUCAACGUAGAGAACGCAGAAGGCGGCGUGGUGGCUGCGACGCCCCAGGCCCUG
Thrips palmi is the source of this 480-nucleotide long non-coding RNA. RefSeq lists it as uncharacterized. The record is from RefSeq and is a predicted model, not a curated record. Lineage: Eukaryota; Metazoa; Arthropoda; Insecta; Thysanoptera; Thripidae. The transcript has 4 exons.